UUUCUUCCGUUGCAACGCACGGGCUCUUUUGCUAGUAAGAUGUAAAGAUAAAUACUCUAGUUGAGAGAAAUAAUAUCUUCAAUAAGGGGUUUGGGGUUACAUCAUUCAUCAACCAUCAUUUGCUCUCUCACCUCAUUACAAGGACAUAAGAAUUUGUACUGAUCAAAUGUGCCUGUACAGAUCUCUCUCUGUUUACUUGUACAUGGCCAUUACAAUAUCUUCAGUCAACUAAGAUACUGUAGACAAGUACUCUAACAUCUAGCAUAUGGCUUAUUCUAACAAAUACUCCAAGAAACUGUAAGCAGCUAGGAGUAACAAGCAUCUGGAAGUUCUUUCAGGAUCAAGCAGCUAGACUUACCAAAUGCUUUGUUUCCUCCAGGUCCAUGUAGAUUCACAGCAAAUUCAGAAGUUAACAACAAUGUUAUUGUAUUUUAUCAGAACUGUACAAAUUAAUGACACCAAUUUCAGAAAUUGACAGCAAAUGGCACUUAAAAAAAUUAACAACAAAUUCCAUAACAAUGAGCUAAACCUGACAAGCCAUAACAUUGAGUUAAACCUACAAUGAGUUAACAUUCAGUUAAACCUGACAAGCCAACAGAGUUGCAGUAUUUAUCAGGAUGGGAACCCACCCUACUGUGAACUUGGCAGCAAUAUUCUUGUGUGUUUUCUCUCUGUUGCGCCAGCAACAGAAACUGAUUGGUCGCUCUCUGUUGUGUAAUUUACCAAAUCAUAUUUCUUUUGCUUAUUGCCAUUGAGUCUUUAAUAUCAUCAUAUAUCAGAGUAAGGCGCACAUAUUAGAUUUUUCCAAUAUGUCUGUCAGUGCGCUUUGGUCCAUAUAAUACUCCUCUUAAAUCAACAUAAGUAAGACAAUACCUGACUCAUACGAGCAGCUGCAUAUCAACACGGCAGGUCAAGACAGCAGCUUGACAACGUUUUAGUGAUCAUGACAAGUUCACAAAUGACAAACCACAACACAACGAGCAUAGUAAGUUCCUGUUUCUCCGACUUCUCUCACAAGUCAUAAAAGACACAACCGCACACAUAAGACAUAAGAAAGUUCCAGAGUCGCACACAUCAUAAAGGAGACACGUUCAUGAAACUUAAAUACUUGAUAAAAAUGAUAACUUGACAGCAUGAUGCCAUCAACUGAUCUCCUCAAUCACCAGCCAUUCUGCCACAGUCCUCAACAGCUUAGGGCCAAGGCAACGAGCUCGCCUUCCAGCGAGCCUACGUGAGCGCCUUAUUAGACCUUCUUGAGCCAACCCACUUUAUCAAACACUGGAGCAGGCCAGUUGGACCAAUGCUGAUUGGGAUCCAAGGGCGGCAAAGAGAGCCCUCAAGGUGUCAUCUUGCAUCUUCCGGAGUCCAGGCAUCGGUCCACUGAGCCAACGGUCAUUGGAUGACCGAUUCAUAGCAGUAAGACUGGGUGUAAUCCACACGGGAGAAGGCCAGUUGGACCAAAGCUGAGGAGACACAAGGUCCACCUCGCUAUUAUUGCCCAAGCCAACUACUCCAAUAUCACGAGGACUACUCUUACGGUUUUUAUUGUACUCAUCAUCGUCAGUAAAGUAGGCAUGAUUUCCCUUGAGAGCAGGGUAAUCUUUGGCACUCAGACAAAGUGGAUUGUUGUGUCCAAGAAACAGCACAUGGUCAGGCAAGCAAUCAAUUUCCACAAGCCUCUCUGUGCAAUCAUCAACUGUGUGUAAUUUGAUUUCCGUAGUAUGCGGAACAUAUAUUUCAGGGUCACCAUCUUCAUCAGGAUCCUCAAACUCUUUAAACCUUGAAACAAGCAGCAGACCACCCCAUGGGGCCUGAACAAUGUAUACGGCAUCGGGAUAAAAAUCCUCGUCGACUCCUCUAAUAAUUUUCAUUGUAACAGCAGGACCACUAAGAUCGAAGGCAUGGAUUUCUCCCUUUAUAACCACUGCGUACAACAACCCAUCCUUGUAGGUGCAGUCCUGAUAGUGAUGGUGUGGUGGCAGCAAGGUCCACUUAUCAUCCCCUACUCUUGCAAACGAGAGGUGAUUGUAUGGCUCGUGGAUUAGCGCAACGAUGUAGCUUCCUGUGGAUGUAUCAUGAAACACAAACGCCUUGAUCUGGAGCUGUUCCCGCAGCUCACAACCAGCGAGGAUCGAUGGCGUGAAGAAAGCUCGUCUUGCAGAGUGACUUGGGUAUUCAUACUUCUGGACAGCACCCAAGUCAUCAAAGAUGGGCUUCACGUACUCCAUGGUGGUCACCGAAGGGAGAGCAAUCUGUUGACCAGUGAUAGGAUUGACGAGGUGCAUUUCAGAUCUAUCAUCGGACGGUGCCGGAGGGGAAUGGGACUCAUCUAUACAUUUUUUUUUUGAGGAAUGGGACUCAUCUAUACAUACCAGGCCAUGGGCAGCGAGCUGAUCGUACCGUCGGGCCGGGCUCGGGCCUGGACAUUGAGCCCGACAGGCAUACCGGCCCGGGCUCGGGCCUGCGAAAAACAUGAUUUUAGUCGUAGUCGGACCGGGCCGACCGGGCCAUGUCAAGCUUGUUCAGGCUUGGGCUCAAUCUAGUAGGCCCGAAGGUCGGGCCGGGCCGGACUCAAGCCUGGGUUUUCAGCAUUGACUUUUUUCAGCUCGGCCCAGCUCGACAUAUGCCUAGGUAUAUCACUCAGCUAAUCUUUGUAUCUUUGUUAUUUUAAAAAAUCUCUAUUCUUUAUUAGGACAAUAAAACUAAGCCUGAGAGUAUCUCUAGCAGAUCCCGUAAACCGGGUUAUUCAGCAAAACAACCAUCGGGUUUACCGGACGAAGGCUAUUUUGCCGUCCCGAACAGAUCCAGUACAUUUGACCAUCCUAGAUAUUUUUUUGUGGGAUUAAUCCCAACCCAAUUCCGCCAUAUCUACAAACUACCCGACUUGCCCUUGUUUUUGCCGGAUCCCCUUUUCCCUUGGCACGAACCAACUUCCGGUUCCUUCCGUUCCCGCCUCUCAUGCCGCCGUCGCCUCCAACCUCACCAUCCCGCCUCACAGCGCCAAAAACCGACUGUAUGGAAUAUCUGCAGCCGCUGGGUGCCCCAUAUCAUGCGCCGCCGCCACCUCCAAUGUCGCUGCUCCGUCCGCCCACACCUUUCAUGUCGGCGCCGCCCCAACUCCUUCCCCCGCCGCCAUGAAGAGGAAGCGGCGGGGGAACCAUCUCGUCCAAGGGGGCGCAGCCGGCGCGACACCACCCUCUUUCGGCGCCGCUCCGGUUCCUCCCGUCAAGGCCGCAGGCGGGAGGAAGAAGACCGCCUCCACCGACCCCGUCGGUGCACGGGCAAAGCCCCAGAGGAAGAAAGCAACUGCGUCAAGAGGUCGGCCUCCUCCUCCGCCUCUGGCGGGCCACGGCCUCCCCAUUCAUGCCAACUCUACAGACGUCACACCUACCACGUGUUCGAUGAAACGACCGGGAGGUAAAAAAUCUUCAUUUGCUCCGGUUAUCUUUCCUUCACCCGUUGGAACACUUGUUUGAGCUUUGCCCAUCAAAUUUUGUAGACAAAGUGUGACAUCCACAUAUACCGAGAUGUUGGCCAAGUGUGCGACAGAUUUGAGUUGCCCCUUAAUGAUUUUGAUGCGCCUCAUGUGGAGGUCGAGGCGGAGGUGGAUCAAGUGAAUGACGGUGGUGAUGAAGUGCAAGUGAUCGACGAGGCCGACUAUGAUGCUAGGGUGGGGAGGACCGACAACUACACAGAGAGGAAGUAUGUGUGCUUGAUUCAAGCAUGGGAGAGUGUCUCACUUGACGCCGUGGUCGACAAGAUCAAAGCUAUAAAAAUUAUUGGCAAAGGAUCAAGGACAAAUACCACCAAAUCAUGUCGUUCCCUUCCGACCGGAUCUUGAAGUCACUUCAAGGUUGUUGGGACAUCAUCAACAAAACUUGUGGCCGUUGGAGUGGGUGCUUGGAGCAAGUGCAGAAUGCACCUCAAAGUGACGCCAUUAUUGAUGAUUAUGCGAGUAUUUCUUCAUCUUGUUGCCUUUGGUUAAUGACCCACAAGUAUAGGGGAUCAAUUGUAGUCCUUCCAAUAAGUAAAAGUGCCGAACCCAACGAGGAGCGAAAGGAAAUGACAAGCGGUUUUCAACAAGGUAUUCUCUACAAGUGUUGUAAGUAACAGUGAUAGAUAGUUUUGUAGCAAGAUAAUUCCUAACAAGUAACAAGUAGCAGUAGUAAUAAAGGUGCAGUAAUGUGGCCCAAUCUUUUUUAUAACAAAGGACAAGCCAGAAUGCUCUCUUAUAAUAAGCAAAGAGUUCUGGAGGACACGUGGGAGUUGUCAUCUAGUCAUGUUCAUCAUGUUUAGUUGAUUCGUGUUCGUUACUCUGAUAAUUUGAUAUGUGGGUGGAUGAGGGAGUCCUGGAUUAAGGGGUCCUCGGGCGGACGAAUUACUCGUUAUAGGCCGAACUGGUGGGCCGUGAAGAUCGCCACAGAAGAUUAUCCCUCGUAUCCGGAUAGGACUCCUAUAUGUGUAGAAUGGCAAGUUUAAAGUCCGGAUGUAAUGUUUCCUUCCUCUGCAAGAUGGUUAUGUACAACCCUAGGUCCCUCCAGUGCAUAUAUAAACUGGAGGGUUUAGUCCGUAGGGACAAUCACAAUUACCAUAGGCUAGACUUCUAGAGUUUAGCCUUAUCGAUCUCGAGGUAGAUCAACUCUUGUAAUCCUCAUAUUCAUCAAGAUCAAUCUAGCAGGAAGUAGGGUAUUACCUCCAUUAAGAGGGCCCGGACUUGGGCAAACAUUGUGUCCUUGUCUCCCCUUGUUACCAUCAAUCCUCAGAUACAUAGUUCGGGACCCCCUACCCGACAUCCGCCGGUUUUGACACCGACAUUGGUGCUUUCAUUGAGAGUUCCGCUGUGUCGUCGACAGAAGGAUUGAUGGCUCGCUUCGUCAUCAGCGACAGCGCCACCCCCAGGGAGAUCUUCCUUCCCGGUCAGCUUUUCGUGUUUGGCGGCUUCGUGCUACACGUCAACUCGGAUGGCCACCUUGAGCAGGUUGAUAGUUAUGCCCUUGGUCAUCAGAUCAAGUUUGGAAGUCUGAAUUACGUUGCCGACACCCAACGAGAUUUGAUCGUCGAAGGAUUCGCACCCUCGGCUGUCGCUCCCUGCCUACACGGUGAAGACAUCUUAGAUCUAUCACCAGAUCCCGUCCAGGGGUCAACAUCCGUGUCCGCUCUGGCCCUAGAUCCGGAGCAGAUCACUUCGUCCGAAGACGGGUGGAUAAACCCCGUCGGACUCUCCCCCUCCAUGGAACUUUUAGCCGGAGGCUCAACGACGAUUAUGCCGCUCACAAACCCAGGAUCGAAUGGGACUCUCCUCGCCGCUGGAAAGCCGAACUCAUUUCCAAUUACGAGCUCCGAACUCUUGGGAUUCACACUCUCCAGGCUCGAUCAAGUGGUCACCACUGAGCCUGGCUCCGCAGACCCCUAAACUCCUAUCCAGCUCUCGCUCUUAAACGAGGCGCUGGACUUACUGCAAUCUCUCGCCAUUACGGAGGAUUCGCUGCCGAACUGUGCCCAGUUAAAAUUGGGGGCUAAGAUUAGGGAAUUUUGCUUCCCACCCACCACCCACUUGGUAGCCACGGUCGAAGACUUAAUCGACGUACUAGACUAUGCUUCCAAAGACUAUGAUGGUAUGGACCAUGACGUCGAAGCUGAUCUAGGUCAAAACCCGCCCGUCACCGGGCGAUGGACGGCCACUUCUACCUAUGACUUAUACAUGGUGGACACAUCCCAGGAGAAGGACGGCGAUGGCGACAAAGAUCCAGAAGAGGAUAAGCCUGUCAAUGAACCUCCUAAGCACCGGCGUCAGCGGCGCCGCUCACGAUCGCGUCGAGAAAGGGACAGUAAUACCGGCACCGGAGACAAUGAGGCUCUGGAGGAUGCCGAAGACCCCGUAGAGCCAGCGUUGGAGCAGGACGAGCGGGAGGAUGGCCAACGCAGUCCCGAACAACUCACCGAUCACAAUGAUUCUGAAGACAGUAACUACCUACCUGUCUCCGAAGAGGUUGUCAGCCUGGGAGACGAGGAAUUCAUCGUCCCAGAGGAACCCCUCGAACAAGAAUGCUUUCAAUGACAGCUUAUUGCCACAGCAAGGAGCCUGAAAGAGCAGCAGCAGCGGCUUAAAGCCGAGCAGGAUACGCUCAACAACAUAUGAAAUGAAGUGCUAGACGCUAAAGAAAGAUACGGCCGUGAGUGCCAAACAAAGAGCUAUCCCAAGCGCAAGCUGCUACCACAAUUCGACGACGAGGCCCUUGCGCCAAUUCCGUCGAAGCAUGAUUGGGCCGAUCAACCGGAUCGACCACCUCGUGGACGGGACAAAGUGGCUGGUAAUGCCGUAUAUCAACCCGCACCUCCUAAUCGUAAAGGAAAGGAUACAACGGCUCAGGGCCAUAAGUACGACUUACGUAGGGACCUAAAUAAAAAAGCCGGUCAGGCUAGCUAGAUCAAUCUACGGAUCAAGAGAACAUGCUCCUACACGGGAUGGUAACUAUCAAGCCAAGCACACUGGAUACAAUCAAGUUCAGAGUCAAGACCGAACACAGAUGCCGUGUGAACUACGUCGCGAUGCCACACAAUACAGGGGCGCUGCACACCCUCUGUGCUUUACCGAUGAGGUGAUGGAUCACCAAUUUCCAGAAGGGUUUAAUCCCGUAAACAUCGAAACAUAUGAUGGAACGACAGAUCCCGCUGUAUGGAUUGAAGACUUUAUUCUUCACAUCCAUAUGGCUCGUGGAGAUGACCUCUAUGCCAUCAAAUACUUACCUUUAAAGCUGAAAGGGCCAGCUCGGCACUGGUUGAACAGCCUCCCAGAGAACUCCAUUGGAAGCUGGGAAGAUUUAGAGGAUGCUUUCCGGGCUAACUUUCAGCGGACUCAUGUCCGGCCACCGGAUGCUGAUGAUUUAAGUCACAUAAUCCAGCAACUCGGGGAGUCAUCCCGCAAGCUUUGGAAUCGGUAGCAUACAUUCCUCCCUCAUAAUUAUUUUCAGUAGCAUCAUGAAUGAAUUCAACAAUAUAACCAACACCUAAAGCAUUCUUUUCAUGAUCUACAAGCAUAGAAAUUUUAUUACUCUCCACAUAAGCAAAAUUCUUCUCAUGAACAAUAGUGGGAGCAAACUCAACAAAAUAACUAUCAUGUGAUUGAGAAUUAAGAUCAAGAUGACAAGUUUCAUGGUUAUCAUUAUUCUUUAAAGCAUACGUAUCAUCAGAAUAAUCAUCAUAGAUAGGAGGCAUGCUUUCAUCAUAGUAAAUUUGCUCAUCAAAGCUUGGGGGACAAAAAAUAUCAUCUUCAUCAAACAUAGCUUCCCCCAAGCUUGUGGCUUUGCAUAUCAUUAGCAUCAUGGAUAUUCGAGGAAUUCAUACUAACAACAUUGCAAUCAUGCUCAUCAUUCAAAUAUUUAGUGUCAAAUAUUUUAAUGCAUUCUUCUUCUAACACUUUGGCACAAUUUUCCUUUCCAUCAUACUCACGAAAUAUAUUAAAAAGAUGAAGCGUAUGAGACAAACUAAAUUCUAUUUUUUGUAGUUUUCUUUUAUAAACUAAACUAGUGCUAAAACAAGAAACAAAAAGAUCCGAUUGCAAGAUCUAAAGAUAUACCUUCAAGCACUCACCUCCCCGGCAACGGCGCCAGAAAAGAGCUUGAUGUCUACUAUGCAACCUUCUUCUUGUAGACGUUGUUGGGCCUCCAAGUGCAGAGGUUUGUAGGACAGUAGCAAAUUUCCCUCAAGUGGAUGACCUAAGGUUUAUCAAUCCGUGGGAGGCGUAGGAUGAAGAUGGUCUCUCUCAAGCAACCCUGCAACCAAAUAACAAAGAGUCUCUUGUGUCCCCAACACACCCAAUACAAUGGUAAAUUGUAUAGGUGCACUAGUUCGGCGAAGAGAUGGUGAUACAAGUGCAAUAUGGAUGGUAGAUAUGGGUUUUUGUAAACUGAAAAUAUAAAAACAGCAAGGUAGCAAGUGGUAAACGUGAGCAUAAAAGGUGUUGCAAUGAUAGGAAACAAGGCCUAGGGUUCAUACUUUCACUAGUGCAAGUUCUCUCAACAAUAAUAACAUAAUUGGAUCAUAUAACUAUCCCUCAACAUGCAACAAAGAGUCACUCCAAAGUCACUAAUAGCGGAGAACAAACGAAGAGAUUAUGGUAGGGUACGAAACCACCUCAAAGUUAUUCUUUCCAAUCAAUCCAUUGGGCUAUUCCUAUAAGUGUCACAAACAGCCCUAGAGUUCGUACUAGAAUAACACCUUAAGACACAAAUCAACCAAAACCCUAAUGUCACCUAGAUACUCCAUUGUCACCUCAAGGAUCCGUGGGUAUUAUUAUACGAUAUGCAUCACACAAUCUCAGAUUCAUCUAUUCAACCAACACAUAGAACCUCAAAGAGUGCCCCAGAGUUUCUACCGGAGAAUCACGACGAAAACGUGUGCCAACCCCUAUGCAUAGGUUCCCAAUGUCACGAAACCCGCAAGUUGAUCACCAAAACAUACAUCAAGUGGAUCAAUAGAAUAACCCAUUGUCACCACGGUUAUCCCAUGCAAGACAUACAUCAAGUGUUCUCAAAUCUUUAAAGACUCAGUCCGAUAACAUAACUUCAAAAGGGAAACUCAAUCCAUUACAAGAGAGUAGAGGGGGAGAAGAAACAUAAGAUCCAACUAUAAUAGCAAAGCCCGCAAUACAUCAAGAUCGUGCCAAAUCAAGAACACGAGAGAGAGAGAGAGAUCAAACACAUAGCUACUAGUACAUACCCUCAGCCCCGAGGGUGAACUACUCCCUACUCGUCAUGGAGAGCACCGGGAUGAUGAAGAUGGUCACCUGUGAGGGAUCCCCCCUCCGGCAGGGUGCCGGAACAGGGUCCCGAGAGGUUUUUGGUGGCUACAGAGGCUUGCGGCGGCGGAACUCCCGAUCUAAUCUCUGUUCUGGAAGUUUUAGGAUACGUAGGUAUAUAUGGGUGCAGGGAGUACGUCGGUGGAGCUACGGGGGCCCCACGAGGCAGGGGGGCGCGCCCCUACCCUCAUGAGCACCUCCCUCAUCUCCUGACGUAAGGUCCAAGUCUAUCCGGUAGGUUUCCUUCCAAAAAUAACUUCUCUAGUUGAUUUCAUUCCGUUUUGACUCCGUUUGAUAUUCCUUUUCCUCGAAACACUGAAAUAUGCAUAAAACAGCAAACCUGGGCUGGGCCUCCUAUUAAUAGGUUAGUCCCAAAAAUAAUAUAAAAGUGGAUAAUAAAGCCCAAUAUUUCCCAAGAUAGUAGAUAAUAUAGCAUGGAGCAAUAAAAAAUUAUAGAUACGUUGGAGACGUAUCACGACCCUGCCGGUAGGAAGCAAGACGGCGAGAGCGAGGAAGCGGCUAUAGCUUAGGAAGCAAGCAAGGAAGGAGGAAACAAAGGAAAUGUGACUUGUGGUCGGGAGAAAAGGGGGUGGGGAAGGGGAGGGGGGCGGGGGUAGAUAUUUUGGCGGUAGGCCAAAAUUUUGGAGAUGUGGAGGGAAACUUUGUGUGCGGUGCCGCCGGACCAUUCACUUUGAAUGAUUGUGUGCAUCGCAAACAAUUCUUCGGCUUUACGUGCAUGGGAUGAGUUUGAUAAUUCAAAUUUUGGUGGAAAUUUCGCCGGGUACGUCAUUUGUGGCACCCCGGGUUAGAGCAACCGGUUUACCCUGCAUUGCCAGCCCAGAGAUCGAGUCUUCUGGCAAUACACAACAACAUGGUACAGAAAUAACCACUUUAUUGAUACUAGCGGGAUACAUAGGUCUGAUAUUACAUCGAGAUGCGAGGCCAAGCGGCACACACGAUGCUGCUGGACAGUAUGUACAUUAUUUAAUGAACAUGGUUGGGGCCUCGAUCACACGAAACUACACGGCAGCGGAAGAACGACGUAGCGGGACUCCAUAGCACAGGGACACCGACGUGGACACGGCCUAGACACGAGGUGCGCUCCGAUGCGAAUCGACUUGCCUGAAAGCUGGCAUAACACGCCAGGUCAGUGCAUGGAAUGUACUUGCAAUCUCACAACAAACAUAAGCACGAUGAUAGACAAUAUCAUGAUAAUUAAGCAAGUUAAAUUAAUGCAAGAAAUACUAUAGAUGCAAUGCAGCCAAACAGUGCACCGAGUCACGCGGACUCGCUUACCAGACGGUUACCUCGUAACCAAACAGUGACCACACCGGGGUCACACCUGAAACCAAAAACCCAUGAACACCUCUAGUGUUCAAGGUUCGCCACGAAACAAUGCAUCACAACAAUCACUUAGUUUGCAAGAUUAAUUAUAAAAGUUGAUCCAUGGUGUGACUUACUCCCGAGUCUUGCCCAUAAUCGAGGGUGCGGCUAUCGAUAGAUUAAAUACACUCUGCAAAGGUAGUGCACUUUACCCACACUACGGAGUACCUGGCCUCGCUUUCCCAUUCGGGUGGACCAAAAUAUUCCGACGAAACCCUCCCUUUGUCAUGCACUCUCCCCGACCACUGCUACCUCUUGAGCACUGCGUUGGUUUUCCCUUGAAGAGGAAAGGGUGAUGCAGCAAAGUAGCGUAAGUAUUUCCCUCAGUUUUUGAGAACCAAGGUAUCAAUCCAGUAGGAGGCUAUGCGCGAGUCCCUCGCACCUGCACAAUACAAAUAAAUCCUCACAACCAACGCGAUAAGGGGUUGUCAAUCCCUUCACGGUCACUUACGAGAGUGAGAUCUGAUAGGAUAAUAUUUUUGGUAUUUUUAUGAUAAAGAUGCAAAGUAAAAUAAAAGCAAAGUAAAAAGCAAAGGAAAUAAAUAAGUGUUGGAAGAUUAAUAUGAUGAAGAUAGACCCGGGGGCCAUAGGUUUCACUAGUGGCUUCUCUCAAAAGCAUAAGUAUUUUAUGGUGGGUGAACGAAUUACUGUUGAGCAAUUGACAGAAUUGAGAAUAGUUAUGAGAAUAUCUAGGUAUGAUCAUGUAUAUAGGCAUCACGUCCGAGACAAGUAGACCGACUUCUGCCUGCAUCUACUACUAUUACUCCACUCAUCGACCAUUAUCCAGCAUGCAUCUAGAGUAUUAAGUUCAUGAAAAUAGAGUAACACCUUAAGCAAGAUGACAUGAUGUAGAAGGAUAAAUUCAUGCAAUAUGAUAAAAACCCCAUCUUGUUAUCCUCGAUGGCAACAAUACAAUACGUGCCUUGCUGCCCCUACUGUCACUGGGAAAGGACACCGCAAGAUUGAACCCAAAGCUAAGCACUUCUCCCAUUGCAAGAAAGAUCAAUCUAGUAGGCCAAACCAAACUGAUAAUUCGAAGAGACUUGCAAAGAUAACCAAUCAUACAUAAAAGNNNNNNNNNNNNNNNNNNNNNNNNNNNNNNNNNNNNNNNNNNNNNNNNNNNNNNNNNNNNNNNNNNNNNNNNNNNNNNNNNNNNNNNNNNNNNNNNNNNNNNNNNNNNNNNNNNNNNNNNNNNNNNNNNNNNNNNNNNNNNNNNNNNNNNNNNNNNNNNNNNNNNNNNNNNNNNNNNNNNNNNNNNNNNNNNNNNNNNNNNNNNNNNNNNNNNNNNNNAGAUCAAUCUAGUAGGCCAAACCAAACUGAUAAUUCGAAGAGACUUGCAAAGAUAACCAAUCUUUGCAUACAUAUCUUCGCAAGUCUAUUCGAAUUAUCAGUUUGGUUUGGCCUACUAGAUUGAUCUUUCUUGCAAUGGGAGAAGUGCUUAGCUUUGGGUUCAAUCUUGCGGUGUCCUUUCCCAGUGACAGUAGGGGCAGAAAGGCACGUAUUGUAUUGUUGCCAUCGAGGAUAACAAGAUGGGGUUUUUAUCAUAUUGCAUGAAUUUAUCUCUCUACAUCAUGUCAUCUCGCUUAAGGCGUUACUCUGUUUUUAUGAACUUAAUACUCUAGAUGCAUGCUGGAUAGCGGUUGAUGAGUGGAGUAAUAGUAGUAGAUGCAGGCAGGAGUCGGUCUACUUGUCUCGGACGUGAUGCCUAUAUACAUGAUCAUACCUAGAUAUUCUCAUAACUAUGCUCAAUUCUAUCAAUUGCUCAACAGUAAUUCGUUCACCCACCGUAAAAUACUUAUGCUCUUGAGAGAAGCCACUGGUGAAACCUAUGCCCCCCAGGUCUAUCUUCAUAAUAUUAAUCUUCCAACACUUAGUUAUUUCCUUUGCUUUUAUUUUACUUUGCAUCUUUAUCACAAAAAUACCAAAAAUAUUAUCCUAUCAUAUCUAUCAGAUCUCACUCUCGUAAGUGACCGUGACGGGAUUGACAACCCCUUAGCGCGUUGGUUGCGAGGAGUUAUUUGUUUUGUGUAGGUACGAGGGACUCGCGUGUAGCCUCCUGCUGGAUUGAUACCUUGGUUCUCAAAAACUGAGGGAAAUACUUACGCUACUUUGCUGCAUCACCCUUUCCUCUUCAAGGAAAUCCAACGCAGUGCUCAAGAGGUAGCGGAGAAGAUUUCUGGCGCCAUUGUCGGGGAAGCUUACGCAAAGUCAAGUCAAGAUUUGGACUCCUGACAACGAGCCAUUUCUGGCGCCGUUGCCGGGGAGUCAACGCAAAAGUAAACAUACCAAGUACCCAUCACAAAUCCCUUAUCUCCCACAUUACAUUAUUUGCCAUUUGCCUCUCGUUUUCCUCUCCCCCACUUCACCCUUGCCGUUUUAUUCGCCCUCUCUUUUUCCGUUCGCCUCUUUUUCUCUUGCUUUUUGUUUGCUCGUGUGUUGGACUGCUUGCUUGUCACUAUGGCUCAAGAUAAUACCAAAUUGUGUGACUUUACCAAUACAAACAAUAAUGAUUUCCUUAGCACUCCGAUUGCUCCUCUUAUCGAUGCUGAAUCUUGUGAAAUCAAUGCUGCUUUGUUGAAUCUUGUCAUGAAAGAUCAAUUCGCCGGCCUUCCUAGUGAAGAUGCCGCUACUCAUCUAAAUAGCUUCGUUGAUUUGUGUGAUAUGCAAAACAAGAAAGAUGUUGAUAAUGAUAUUGUUAAAUUGAAGCUAUUUCCUUUUUCGCUUAGAGAUCGUGCUAAAGCUUGGUUUUUGUCUUUGCCUAAAAAUAGUAUUGAUUCUUGGAACAAGUGCAAAGAUGCUUUUAUCUCUAAGUAUUUUCCUCCCGCUAAGAUCAUCUCUCUUAGAAACGAUAUUAUGAAUUUUAAGCAACUUGAUCAUGAACAUGUUUCACAAGCUUGGGAGAGGAUGAAAUUAAUGUUACGUAACUGCCCUACUCAUGGUUUGAAUUUGUGGAUGAUUAUACAAAAUUUUUAUGCCAGAUUGAAUUUUGCUUCUAGAAAUCUUUUAGAUUCGGCCGCGGGAGGCACUUUUAUGGAAAUCACUUUAGGAUAAGCUACUAAACUCCUAGAUAAUAUUAUGGUUAAUUAUUCUCAAUGGCACAUUGAAAGAUCUACUAAUAAAAAAGUGCAUGCGAUAGAAGAAAUUAAUGUUUUGAGUGGAGAGAUGGAUGAACUUAUGAAACUAUUUGCUAGUAAGAGUGUUUCCUCCGAUCCUAAUGAUAUGCCUUUGUCUACUUUGAUUGAGAAUAAUUCUAUGGAUGCGAAUUUUGUUGGUAGGAAUAAUUUUGGUAACAACGCGUAUAGAGGAAACUUUAAUCCUAGGCCUUAUCAUAGUAAUUCCUCUAAUAAUUAUGGAAAUUCCUACAACAACUCUUAUUGAAAUUUUAAUAAGAUGCCCUCUUAAUUUGAGACUAGUGUUAAAGAGUUUAUGAAUUCGCAAAAGAAUUUCAAUGCUUUGCUUGAGGAAAAAUUUCUUAAAGUUGAUGAAUUGGCUAGGAACGUUGAUAGAAUUUCUCUUGAUGUUGAUUCUUUAAAGCUUAGAUCUAUUCCUCCUAAGCAUGAUAUCAAUGAGUCUCUCAAAGCCAUGAGAAUUUCCAUUGAUGAGUGCAAAGAAAUAACCGCUAGGAUGCGUGCUAAGAAAGAUUGCUUUAUAAAAGCGUGUUCUUCCAAUUUCUAUGAAAAUAAAGAUGAAGAUCUAAAAGUUAUUGAUGUGUCCCCUAUUAAAUCUUUGUUUUGCAAUAUGAAUCUUGAUAAUGAUGGGACUGAAUAUGAUCCACCUUUACCUAGAAGGCGUUCCAAAAAUUCGGAGUUUUUAGAUCUUGAUGCUAAAAUUGAUAAAAGUGGGAUUGAAGAAAUCAAAACCCUAGAUGUUGCUAGACCCACUAUUUUGGAUUUCAAGGAAUUUAAUUAUGAAAAUUGCUCUUUGAUUGAUUGUAUUUCCUUGUUGCAAUCCGUGCUAAAUUCUCCUCAUGCUUAUAGUCAAAAUAAAGCUUUUACCAAACAUAUCGUUGAUGCCUUGAUGCAAUCUUAUGAAGAAAAGCUUGAGUUGGAAGUUUCUAUCCCUAGAAAACUUUAUGAUGAAUGGGAACCAACUAUUAAAAUUAAGAUUAAGGAUCAUGAAUUCCAUGCUCUAUGUGAAUUGGGUGCUAGUGUUUCCACUAUUCCCAAAACUUUGUGCGAUUUGCUAGAUUUCCGUGAUUUUGAUGAUUGCUCUCUAAACUUGCACCUUGCGGAUUCCACUAUUAAGAAACCUAUGGAAAGAAUUAAUGAUGUUCUUAUUGUUGCAAAUAGGAACUAUGUGCCCGUAGAUUUUAUCGUUCUUGAUAUAGAUUGCAAUCGUUCAUGUCCUAUUAUUCUUGGUAGACCUUUCCUUAGAACGAUUGGUGCAAUUAUUGAUAUGAAGGAAGGGAAUAUUAGAUUCCAAUUUCCAUUAAAGAAAUGCAUGGAACACUUCCCUAGGAAGAAAAUAAAAUUACCAUAUGAAUCUAUCAUGAGAGCCACUUAUGGAUUGCCUACCAAAGAUGGCAAUACCUAGAUCUAUCCUUGCUUUUAUGCCUAGCUAGGGGAGUUAAACGAUAUCGCUUGUUGGGAGACAACCCAAUUUUAUUUUUAGUUUUUUUGCUUUUUUGCUUCUGUUUAGGAAUAAAUCUUUGAUCUAGCCUCUGGUUAGAUGUGUUUUUGUGUUUUAAUUAGUGUUGUGCCAAGUUAAACCUAUAGGAUCUUCUUGGAUGAUAGUUAUUUGAUCUUGCAGAAAUUUCCAGAAACUUUCUGUUCACGAAAACAAUUGUUAAAAAUCAUCGGAACGUGAUAAAAUAGUGAUUCCAAUUGUUGCUGAUCAAUAAAAAAAUUUCCUAGGUCGUCCUAUUUUUGCUGAUUUUUUGGAGUUCCAGAGGUUUGCGUUAGUUACAGAUUACUACAGACUGUUCUGUUUUUGACAGAUUCUGUUUUUCAUGUGUUGUUUGCUUAUUUUGAUGAAUCUAUGGCUAGUAAAAUAGUUUAUAAACCAUAGAUAAGUUGGAAUACAGUAGGUUUAACACCAAUAUAAAUAAAGAAUGAGUUCAUUACAGUACCUUGAAGUGGUCUUUUGUUUUCUUUAGCUAACGGAGCUCACGAGAUUUCUGUUGAGUUUUGUGUUGUGAAGUUUUCAAGUUUUGGGUGAAUUUUUUUGAUGGAUUAUGGAACAAGGAGUGGCAAGAGCCCAAUCUUGGGGAUGCCCAUGGCACCCCCAAGAUAAUCUAAGGACACCAUAAAGCCAAAGCUUGGGGAUGCCCCGGAAGGCAUCCCCUCUUUCGUCUACUUCCAUCGGUAACUUUACUUGGAGCUAUAUUUUUAUUCACCACAUGAUAUGUGUUUUGCUUGGUAUCGGUGUCAAAACCGGUGGAUCUCGGGUAGGGGGUCCAGAACUGUGUGUCUAAGGUGGAUGGUAACAGGAGGCGGGGGACAUGAUGUUUACCCAGGUUCGGGCCCUCUCGAUGAAGGUAAUACCCUACUUCCUGCUUGAUUGAUCUUGAUGAUAUGAGUAUUACAAGAGUUGAUCUACCACGAGAUCAUAGAGGCUAAACCCUAUAAGCUAGCGUAUGGUAUGAUUGUUGUUGUCCUACGGACUAAACCCUCCGGUUUAUAUAGACACCAGAGGGGGCUAGGGUUACACAGAGUCAGUUACAAGGGAGGAGAUCUACAUAUCCGUAUUGCCAAGCUUGCCUUCCACGCCAAGGAGAGUCCCAUCCGAACAUGGGAUGAAGUCUUCAAUCUUGUAUCUUCAUAGUCCAACAGUCCGGCCAAAGGAUAUAGUCCGGCUGUCCAGAGACCCCCUAAUCCAGGACUCCCUCAGUAGCCCCUGAACCAGGCUUCAAUGACGAUGAGUCCGACGCACAGAUUGUCUUCGGCAUUGUAAGGCGGGUUCCUCCUCCGAAUACUCCAUAGAAGAUUUUGAACACAAGGAUAGUGUCCGGCUCUGCAAAACAAAUUCCACAUACCACCGUAGAGAGAAUAAUAUUUCCACACAUCUAAUCUGCCGACCGUUUUUCAUAAUGUGACGUAUUGCCGUGGUCUGGCCAUGACGAACCGUCUUUCUCAACCAGCCUGCCACUGCCCGUUUUGCGAGGCGAUUUUAUUGGCACGUCUUGUCGAAGCAGAGAUCAUGUCCCCCUUAUUACGGGAUUCUCAUCAAUACGGAUGUGGGUAACCCAAUCGUGCCUGUUGGUAUGACUCCUCGAUUUUAGGCAAGUCCCAAACGGGCACGCGAAGGACGCUUGAUAUUCAUCCCUGAGGGAGUCCUGGAUUAGGGGGUGUCCGGGUAGCCGGACUAUACCUUCAGCCGGACUCCUGGACUAUGAAGAUACAAGAUUGAAGACUUCGUCCCAUGUCGGGAUGGGACUUUCCUUGGCGUGGAAGGCAAGCUUGGCGAUACGGAUAUUUAGAUCUCCUACCAUUGUAACCGACUUUGUGUAACCUUAACCCUCUCCGGUGUCUAUAUAAACCGGAGGGUUUUAGUCCGUAGGACAACUCCAACAUACAACAAUCAUACCAUAGGCUAGCUUCUAGGGUUUAGCCUCCUUGAUCUCGCGGUAGAUCUACUCUUGUACUACCCAUAUCAUCAAUAUUAAUCAAGCAGGACGUAGGGUUUUACCUCCAUCAAGAGGGCCCGAACCUGGGUAAAACUUCGUGUCCCUUGUCUCCUGUUACCAUCCGCCUAGACGCACAGUUCGGGACCCCCUACCCGAGAUCCGCCGGUUUUGACACCGACAAUCCCCUUUAUAAAGAGGCCAAGGCCUGUCCUUUUUCUUCUUGCACUCAAUCGAAUCCUUCCCCCCACCUCGAGUUCCAACAGCCAAGGCUCAGGUCAGGCGCUUCGGACCUUCAACCAUGUCCAGAUCCAACCUUCAAGGUCGGUGGAUGCCUUCCUCUGUCACAGAGGAAGACAUCAAGAAGCUAAGAGAGGCCAGGUAUUUGACCGGCGAAAUCUCGCACAGGUUGCCUGCUCGAGGGCAGGUCAUUCCCACUCCCGAAUCCGGCGAGAGCGUUGUAUUCAUCUCUCACUUCCUCCGAGGGCUAGGCCUUGCUCUAGAUCCCUUUGUUAGGGGGCUCAUGUUCUAUUACGGGCUGGAUUUUCAUGACCUGGCCCCGGAUUCCAUCCUUCACAUCUCGUCGUUCAUCUCGUGUGUGAGGCCUUCCUCCGCAUUACCCCACACUUCGGCCUGUGGCUCAAAACAUUCAAUGUGAAGCCGAAGAUGAUUGAGGGGCGACACGCAGAGUGCGGAGGUGUCGUAAUAAGCAAAGGCGUCGAUGUUCCAUGGCCAAAAGGUUCCUUCCCGGAGUUGUCCAGUUUAUGGCAACGGGAGUGGUUUUAUAUCACAGCUCCCCGGGGUACCAAGUGGGUGGCCGCCCCUGCCUUUCGCUCGAGCCCCCCCACCACAACUGAUGUCAUGGAUCUACAAGGGCUGGACUGGGGGCGAGUAAAUGAUGUGCCGAUAUUGCAAAGUUGCAUUCGAGAUCUCCUCGAGAGAGAUGUCAGCCUGGUCACGAUAAUGCAAGUCAUGCUAGUUCGUCGGGUCUUGCCUUGCAAACGUCGACCCCUCCGAAUGUGGGAGUUCAACCCGGAAGGACCGCGAGCUAUCUAGUACUUCUUCGGCAUGACGCUCGAAGAGAUGUACAAUUUGUUCUUCGGACCACAAAUAAGGGGUCCGGACCUCACCGAGGAUGUGGGUCUGAGCUGCAAUCGCCCAGAUACCCAAGUAAGUAAUCCUGUGGCCGAAUACGCUGUCUUUUUAUUCAUCAUAACAUCAUUCUGAAAAGUCGCUCUUUGACCAGGAUUGGGUAACCAAGGCGAAGAUGAUCAGGUGUUCGGCUCCCCUUCCCGAAGGCUCAGCAGAUCCAAUACUGGCCAGGAUGCUCGAGCCGGCGCCUUAUCAGGUGCCCUCAGGGGAAGAUAAAGGGGGGAAUAAAGAGGCUGAAAGCGGGCCUCACUCAUCAUUCAUCCAAACCGGGGGAAUUAGCGCCUCCGCGAAGGAGGAUAAUGAUACGUCUCCAAUGUAUCUAUAAUUUUUUGAUUGCUCCAUGCUAUAUUAUCUACUGUUUUGGGCAAUAUUGGGCUUUAUUAUCCACUUUUAUAUUAUUUUUGGGACUAACCUAUUAACCGGAGGCCCAGCCCAGAUUUGCUGUUUUAUGCCUAUUUCAGUGUUUCAAAGAAAAGGAAUAUCAAACGGAGUCGAAACGGAACGAAAUCAACUAGAGAAGUUAUUUUUGGAAGGAAAGCUACCGGAUGGACUUAGACCCCACGUCAGGAGCUAAGGGAGGUGCCCCGAAGCUCCACCGACGUACUUCCUGGACCCAUAUAUACUCACGUGCCCUAAAACUUCCAGAAUAGAGAUUAGACCGGGAGUUCCGCCGCCGCAAGCCUCUGUAGCCACCAAAAACCUCUCGGGACCCUGUUCCGGCACCCUGCCGGAGGGGGGAACCCUCACCGGUGGCCAUCUUCAUCAUCCCAGCGCUCUCCAUGACGAGGAGGGAGUAGUUCACCCUCUGGGCUGAGGGUAUGUACCAGUAGCUAUAUGUUUGAUCUCUCUCUCUCUCUCUCGUGUUCUUGAUUUGGCACGAUCUUGAUGUAUCGCGAGCUUUGCUAUUAUAGUUGGAUCUUAUGUUUCUUCUCCCCCUCUACUCUCUUGUAAUGGAUUGAGUUUUCCCUUUGAAGUUAUCUUAUCAGAUUGAGUCUUUAAAGAUUUGAGAACACUUGAUGUAUGUCUUGCCGUGCGUAUCUAUGGUGACAAUGGGAUAUCACGUGAUUCACUUGAUGUAUCUUUUGGUGAUCAACUUGCGGGAUCCGCCCAUGAACCUAUGCAUAGGGGUUGGCACACGUUUUCGUCGUGAUUCUCCGGUAGAAACUUUGGGGCACUCUUUGAGGUUCUAUGUGUUGGUUGAAUAGAUGAAUAUGAUGUGUGAUGCAUAUUGUAUAAUCAUACCCACGGAUACUUGAGGUGACAUUGGAGUAUCUAGGUGACAUUAGGGUUUUGGUUGAUUUGUGUCUUAAGGUGUUAUUCUAGUAUGAACUCUAGGGCUGUUUGUGACACUUAUAGGAAUAGCCCAACGGAUUGAUUGGAAAGAAUAACUUUGAGGUGGUUUCGUACCCUACCAUAAUCUCUUCAUUUGUUCUCCGCUAUUAGUGACUUUGGAGUGACUCUUUGUUGCAUGUUGAGGGAUAGUUAUAUGAUCCAAUUACGUUAUUAUUGUUGAGAGAACUUGCACUAGUGAAAGCAUGAACCCUAGGCCUUGUUUCAACGCAUUACAAUACCGUUUACGCUCACUUUUACCGUUUGCUACCUUGCUGUUUUUAUAUUUUCAGAUUACAAAAACCUAUAUCUACCAUCCAUAUUGCACUUGUAUCACCAUCUCUUCGCCAAACUAGUGCACCUAUACAAUUUACCAUUGUAUUGGGUGUGUUGGGGACACAAGAGACUCUUUGUUAUUUGGUUGCAGGGUUGCUUGAGAGACCAUCUUCAUCCUACGCCUCCAACAGAUUGAUAAACCUUAGGUCAUCCACUUGAGGGAAAUUUGCUACUGUCCUACAAACCUCUGCACUUGGAGGCCCAAAAACGUCUACAAGGAGAAGGUUGCGUAGUAGACAUCAAGCGCUUUUUUGGCACCGUUGCCGGGGAGGCUAGGUAAGCGACACUCACACCCCGUCAACUAAGCUCUUUUCUGGCGCCGUUGCCGGGGAGGUGAGUGCUUGAAGGUAUAUCUUUAGAUCUUGCAAUCGAAUCUUUUUGUUUCUUGUUUUAGCACUAGUUUAGUUUAUAAAAUAAAACUACAAAAAAUGGAAUUGAGUUUGUCUCAUACGCUUCAUCUUUUUAAUAUCUUUCGUGAGUAUGAUGGAAAGGAAAAUUGUGCCAAAGUGUUAUAAGAAGAAUGCAUUAAAUUGUUUGGCAUUAAAUCUUUGAAUGAUGAGCAUGAUUGCAAUGUUGUUAGUAUGAAUUCCUUGAAUAUCCAUGAUGCUAAUGAUAUGCAAAGCCACAAGCUUGGGGAAGCUAAGUUUGAUGAAGAUGAUAUUUUUUGUACCCCAAGCUUUGAUGAGCAAAUUUACUAUGAUGAAAGCAUGCCUCCUAUCUAUGAUGAUUAUUCUAAUGACACGUAUGCUAUAAAGAAUAAUGAUAACCAUGAAACUUGUCCUCUUGAUCUUAAUUUUCAAUCACAUGAUAAUUAUUUUGUUGAGUUUGCUCCCACUACUAUUGAUGAGAACAAAUUUGCUUACGUGGAGAGUAGUAAAAUUUCUAUGCAAGUAGAUCAUGAAAAGAAUGCUUUAGGUGCUGGUUAUAUUGUUGAAUUAAUUCAUGAUGCUACUGAAAAUUAUUAUGAGGGAGGAAUAUAUGCUUGUAGGAAUUGCAAUAAUAUCAAGUUUCCUCUCUAUGUGCUUAAAGUUUUGAAGUUAUGCUUGUUUUACCUUCCUAUGCAAGUUGAUUCUUGUUCCCAUAAGUUGUUUCCUCACAAAAUCCCUAUGCAUAGGAAGUGGGUUAGACUUAAAUGUGCUAUUCAUAUUCUUCAUGAUGCUCUCUUUAUGUUUCAAUUCUUAUCUUUUAUGUGAGCAUUGAUGAAGCCAUGUACCUAGGGUAGGGUCAUGGACCUGUCCUAACUGCCCUACCCCAGGUCAUCCCUAGAAGAAAUCACCUUUCAAUCGACUUGGAGGUGUUCCACUCGACAGACUCGAAGACAUUCGACCAAGAAGUAAUCACUCGACCAAGAUCCAACCACUCGAAGGCCAGGAGACCUAAAGCCACUCCGCACGCUAACGGUCGGUCAUUGAGUAGCUUUUAUGGUCAUCAUAGUACUUUAUUAGAGGCAUUACCAGUAAUGCCCAACCUUAAUGUACUUUAAACCCUGCAUAACUGAGGGCCGGAGGGGUCUGGCGAACUCUAUAUAAGCCACCCCCCUCCUCAGUGUAAAGGGUUCGCACCCCUGUAAUUCAUAUACCCAUAAUCCAGUCGACCGCCUCCGGGCUCCGAGACGUAGGGCUAUUACUUCCUCCGAGAAGGGCCUGAACUCGUAAACCUCGUGUGCUUACAACUACUCCAUAGCUAGGAUCUUGCCUCUCCAUACCUACCCCCCUACAUUACUGUCAGACUUAGAACCACGACAGUUGGCGCCCACCAUGGGGCAGGUGUCUUAGCGACUUGUUGGAGAAGUUGCGAUUUUUUCCGAUCCAAAUCAUCAUGGUUUCUGGCGGAGUUUUGGUGGAGGGCCGCGAGAUCCGCCUCGGCGCGCUCACGUUCAUCGCCGACGACUCCGCUUGGCUUCAGGAGGCUCCGCUCGACGUCGACGCACUCCCUGUCCGCGAGGCGACGCACUUUCGCGCAUGCGUCCGUGGCGUCCUCCUGCGGCAACCGUCGACCCAGUAUCGGUCGGCCCCUGUGUUGUCCUCCCUCCCUGUUUCCCGCCGGCGCAAGCACUCCGGUCGGUUGAGACUUCAGCAGUGGGUGAGACACGCGGUGGCACGCCAGUCGGCCACCCGUCAAGUCGCAGUGAUCGAGCCCGACGAAUCCCUCUACGACCUGUUCGACUGGCUCCGCAGAGACCGCAUCCGAGUGCGAUAGCAGUGAUCCGGCAGCGGAGGUUCUGAUUAUUGAUGGUCCACGUAGUCCUCCUGGUUUUCCCCGCGCCGACGGAGGCGCUGGUGGAGGCGACCCAUCGCAUCCCCAUGAGGAAUAUCUCCCCGAGCCUCUCACGUCGCUACAAAGAGAAGAACUUUGUCGCCGGAACAUGGAUGCGCUGCACACUCCUAUCGUUGGGGAAACCCCCGAGGCCCAUGCCUUGGAGGACGCGCGCCUGGCCAACUUGGCUGAGCGCACUCGACUGGAGAACCUCCAGCGAGCACUCGACGAGCGUGCGCGAUAACGGGUUCCAGAAUCCAGUCGACGUCAGCUCUUUCCGCCCCCACAGGUAUAUCGAACUCCGAUUCAGAAUUUAGCAGCUGCAGCCCGUAUAGCAAAGUCGAUUCAGCCUUCCCAGUCAGAGGAUGGCAGAGGCUUGCUGUAGAUCAGAGCAUUACUCCGGGCAGCAGGAGACCAGAAUUCCGCUGUUUCUCAGUCGCGGAACAGGAUCCACAGCAGAUCCGUUGCUGCAGACACAGUCCAGUCGGCUCACAGCCCAAGAUCGCCCCUGAGGCGUGAGGGACGUGGAGACCGGCGUGAUCAGUACAGGAACCGUGAGCAGUAUGAUCACCGAUUCGAUCGUGAUGAUCGACAUCGAGUGCCCACCCCUCUCCCGAGGAGUGGAUCAUAUGUGCCUCGACAACAGGAUGACAGGAGCCCUCACAGUGUUGGGCGAAGGAUUCCAGUCGACCCCAGGGAACCAGGCUUUGAUGCGAGAUCCAUUCUCGUUCAAGGUUUGGUCGACAGGAACAAAGCUCACCGAGAAGGUCACGAUAGAGAUGCACCUACCAGCAGCAGAGUGCAUGUUUCAGGGCCAGAGUGCUUUAGCAGAGCCAUCAGGGCCGCAGUGAUUCCUCCCAACUUCAGGUUGGCGACUGGAGUCAGUAAGUUCGCUGGUGAGUCCAAGCCCGAUACUUGGCUUGAAGACUACCGAGUGGCUGUCCAGAUUGGUGGUGGCAAUGAUGAAGUGGCCAUGAAGCACCUGCCUCUCAUGUUGGAGGGCUCGGCCAGAGCGUGGCUGAAUCAGUUAGCACCCAGCAGCAUUUACACUUGGGAAGAUCUCGCCCAAGUGUUUGUCACAACAUUUGAAGGAACAUGCAAGCAACCGGCAGGGCUGACGGAACUGCGGUCUUGUGUGCAGAAGCCAAAUGAAACUUUGAGGGAUUACAUCUAGAGAUGGAUCACGUUGCAUCACACGGUAGAGAAUGUGUCUGAUCACCAAGCAGUCUGUGCCUUCAAGGAAGGUGUCAAGUAUAGAGAACUGAAUCUAAAAUUCGGUCGAACUGGAGACAUGUAUCUGAGUCAGAUGAUGGAGAUUGCCACCAAGUACGCUAAUGGUGAAGAUGAGGAUCGACUCCGGAGUGGCAAGCUCAAGUCAGUCGCCCAAGAAACCGGAGGAGGAAAUUCCAAUCGGAAACAGAAGUGGAAAGCCGAGCCAGCUGCUCCUGGGGAAGCCUUGGCUGUAACUCAAGGAAAGUUUAAGGGGAAACCCAAAGGGCCUUCGAACCCCAAGAAAGUUAAAGACCAAGACGGAAAUGAUGUGUUGGAUUUUCCAUGUCACAUCCACACAAAGAAAGAUGAAGAGGGUAAACUCAUUUACCCGAAACAUACCACUCGACAGUGUCGGCUCUUGAUCCAGCAGUUCCAGGGCAAACAACCCAAAUAUAAGGAAAAGGAGUCGGACAAAGUUGAGGACAAGGAAUAUAGUGAUGAUGGAUACCCCCACGUCAAUUCCACCCUGAUGAUUUUUGCUGAUGUUGAAAGCAAAAGUCGACUGAAAGUUAUCAACCGUGAGGUGAAUAUGGUUGCUCCGGCGACACCCAGUUAUUUGAAGUGGUCUCAGGCUGCCAUCACAUUCGACCAGUCCGAUCACCCAAUGCACAUUGCCACCCCUGGGAGGCAAGCUUUGGUGGUCGACCCAGUUGUCCAAGGCACUCGACUGACCAAAGUCUUGAUGGAUGGUGGCAGUGGUUUGAACAUACUGUAUGCAGAGACGUUGAAAGGGAUGGGCAUUCCAAUGUCCAGACUCAGUACCAGCAACAUGAGUUUCCAUGGAGUCAUUCCUGGGAAGAAGGCUGAGUCACUCGGCCAAAUUGCUCUUGAUGUGGUUUUCGGUGAUUCCAAGAAUUACCGCAAAGAUAAGUUGACGUUCGAAGUUGUGGAUUUCCAGAGUGCUUAUCAUGCUAUUUCGGGCAGGCCAGCUUAUGCACGCUUCAUGGCUCGACCAUGUUAUGUAUAUCUCAAAUUGAAGAUGCCUGGUCCCAAAGGUUUGAUCACUGUUACAGGCAAUCGGAAGAAGGCAGAAGAGUGCUUUCAGAAAGGCUCAAAGAUCGCUGAUGCUCAGAUGGCAGUGGUAGAGCUGCAGGAGUACCAGAAGACUACAGACCCGAGUGAUUUGUUGCGAGCCAAGAAGCCCGCUACGGAAUCAACUUUUCAGUCGUCUGGUGAAACGAAGCCGGUUCACAUUCACCCGACCGAUCCCAAUGCUGCUCCGACUCAUAUCUCAACAACACUCGACUCCAAAUAGGAAGAAGCGCUCAUCCAGUUCCUCAUGAGAACUGGGACAUCUUCACAUGGAAGCCUUCUGACAUGCCGGGUGUUCCCAGGGGGCUGGCUGAGCACCGCUGAGGGAGUCCUGGAUUAGGGGGUGUCCGGGUACCUGGACUAUACCUUCAGCCGGACUCUUGGACUAUGAAGAUACAAGAUUGAAGACUUCGUCCCGUGUCCGGAUGGAACUGUCGGCGUUCUGGGAACGGGGGUCCCCAGACUUGCCUGCCUGCGGCCUGCGGCGUGGCUCAAAUGGGGGCCCAGUGCGGCCCAUCUUCAUCAACACAAGGCUCAAGACCCUCGCGAGGGGCGAAGCCUCGCGAGGCGGACGACACGGCGCAUCCUCAGGCACGACCUCAUCAGGCUGGCUCGCGAGGAGGCGGAGAGAUCAAGGCAGGGUACCUCGCGAGGUGCCCAUGACACAAGCCAUGACGAUCGAGGGUGCCAGGCGGGUGCCAGUGCGUGCAGCGUCCUUCUUUCCUCUUUGGUGCAAAGGGGGCAGGCGCAGCCGCGGGGUACCGAGGCAUCAGGCAAAGGUUGCCAUUUCAGUGCAACGAGACCAAGACCAGGAGGACUACAAGACGGAGGUCACCAUGGAGCCCAGCGCGACGUCAUCGACAGAGCCUUUGGCAGGCGGAGACCAACUUUAGUCAGGAUAAGUGUACUCGCUGUCCCCCUUCAAAUUAGCCCGCCAUUGUUGGCUCCCUUCCCGCUCAAUAUUUGGGAAGAGGACCAGGGCCUCUAUAAAUAGGACUAGCCACCCACAUUGCAAGGGGUUCCGAUAGUCGAUACGUGAGAGAGAGAGAGGUGACUGAACUCCUCCUAGCAGUUCAUCACCCCAACCAAGAACAGACCCUCGCGGGGCUGUUCUUCCUUGUAUUGUUCAUCAUCUCCAGCCCCAAGAGGCAAUCCACCAACCACACACUGGAUUAGGGUAUUACACCACAACGGUGGCCCGAACCAGUAUAAAUCUUGUGUCUCUUGUGCAGUUCUUUUAGUAGUUUAGAUCCUUGUGAGACGGAGAGGUAGAAGGCGUGAUCUCCGCGUGCACCCCAGUGUUCGAACCUUAAGGGUCUGCCGGAACCCACGAAUCCGACAUUUUGGCGCGCCAGGUAGGGGUGCGCCGGAAUUCGUCUCCCACCACUCCGCUCUCCUCCGACCGUCGCAUCCAUGUCUGACGCUCGUCGAGCCCGCGCCGAGCGUCGGGCCACCAUCGCUUCUCGCGUCGCCCAGACAGCCCCCGUCGGUGGGCGUCCUCGUCGUUCCCCGUCGCCCAUCGUCAACGCCGCCACUGGCCCGGCGGGGGGCGAGCAGCAAGCGUCGUCUCAGCAUCCGUCCGUGCGGCAAGACGGCCGCACCGCUACUCCAUCGCUCGCACCGGCCGGCUCUUCGUCCCGCGCGCUCCGCGCACCCUUGGAGGCACGAGCUGCGCUCAUCACGGCAAACGAACUCCUGCGCUACUGCCCCGUCGACGACGUCUAUGAGGAGUGGCUCAACCGCGUCGCCGAGCUCGUCCGCGCCGCAGGGGGCUCUCCUGCGCCGUCCGCCCCACUGCACCGCACUCCGCCCCGCGCGGGCAAUGAAGCUCCGGGGGCGUACCAGCCGCCUCCUCUCCAAGAAGACGCCAUGGCUCCAAGGCGCGUGGCCCCUGGGCGGAACCCGCUCUGCCAGGUGCCAGCACAGCAAGAACAGAGCUGCCAAGAAGUCCCUCGCCCACAAGGAGCUGCCCGGGCGCUCCCUGCUCCAGCUCCGGCACGCCAAGACCCCGCUUUGCUCCUAGCUGCAGCGCGUGGGGACCCUCAAGGCCAAGCUCUCCACCAACCGAAGCCUUUCGUGGCCACCGCAGGCUGCCGCGCCUACACCACCGAGAUGCGCAGCGUCGUGUGGCCCGGCAAGUUCAAGCCAGACUUGCCUCCUCGCUACAACGGCACAACUGACCCCGCAGAGUUCCUCCAGCUCUAUGAGCUGGGCAUCGAGGCUGCCAGCGGGGACGAGAAGGUCAUGGCGAACUGGUUCCCCAUGGCGCUGAAGGAGGGAGCUCGCACCUGGCUCCUGAAUCUGGCUCCAGGCACGAUCUCCUCCUGGGACCAGAUGCGCACCCGCUUCAUCGCCAACUUCCAAGGUACACGUGACCGGCCACCCGCCGUGAGCGACAUGCGCUGCAUCAAGCAACAACCCGGAGAGACCCUGCAAAAGUACAUCCAGCACUUCAACAGUGCGCGCCUCAAGAUCCCCAAGGUGUCAGAGGAAGCCAUCAUCUCGGCCUUCUCCGAUGGUGUGCGCGACGUCAAGAUGAAGGAGGAGCUGGCGAUGCAUGAAGACCUCUGCACCUCCCUGGAGCUGUUCAACUUGGCGACCAAGUGCGCCAGGGCUGAGGAGGGGCGUCUCUCCCUCCUCGAGCUGCCUGCCGUGGACCCAGAAGAGAAGAAGCCCAAGGCCAAGGACGUGAAGCGCAAGGGGGCUGCCGUACUCGCAGCCGAACCAGACACCAAGCGGGGCAAGGAUCUGCCCGAACCCUCCAAAGGCAGCCGGUACUGUGUGUACCACGACCUCCACACCCACAACACCAACGAAUGUCAAGAACUCCGUGCCGUGCGAGAAGGAAGGAUCGGCCGUCGCCCUGACCGUGCUGACCGGGGCUACGGCUGAGGAGGAGGAAGAAACCCAGGACGCUGGGAAGAUCGCGGCCCGCGCUAGGGGUGGCGCGACCAACCUCGUGAGGAUCGCUGGCGGGACCUGCCUCGCGAGGGGGACUGGAGGGAUCAGCCUCGUGAGGAUCGCCCUCAUGGCAACGCAGGCCUACCUCCGCUGCCGCCUCAACCAAGGAGGAACGAAGACCGCCAUCAAGACGAGGGGGCUGGGGGCUUCCAAGAGCCGCGCGCAAUCGCCUGCAUCCUGGGCGGAGUUCAAGCCCCAGCCUCUCAACGUAUCUUCAAGCAGUUUGCCCGCAAAGUGAAUGCAGUUCUCCCCAAGCUCGAAGCAACGCGCCCCCUCAGGUGGUCGGCAUGCGCCAUCAUGUUCAGCUCAGUAGACGAGCUCAAGUGCUCGGCCACAGCCGGAGUCCUCCAGAUGCUUUUCUCCCCAGUCAUCAGCAACGUGCUGGUCACCAAGACCCUCAUCGACGGAGGGGCAGGGCUCAACGUCCUGUCCGUGGAAACAUUCAACAACCUCCAAGUGCCCUAUGAUCAGCUUCAGCCAACCAAGCCUUUCUCCGGAGUUACCGACGGUUCCACAGUCCCGAUCAGGCAGGUCCACCUCCCUGUCACCUUCGGGGCAUGCAACAACUACCGCACCGAGCUCAUUGACUUCGACGUCGCCCACAUCCGCCUGCCGUACAACGCCAUCCUCGGGUACCCAGCGUUGGCCAAGUUCAUGGCCGUGACUCACCACGGCUACAACGUCCUCAAGAUGCCAGGAAGUGGCGGCGUCAUCACGGUGCCCUGUGAAGAGAAAGAUGCAGUGUGUUCCCUGGAGCGAGCCUUUCAGGCCGUGUCGCUAGAAGACCCAGAUCACGGAAGCAGGAGGCUUCCUGAGACCACCCCCAAGAAGAAGAAGACAUCGCCAGGGUCAGCCCCUCAGGAGGCAGGCCCUUCUGGGCCCGUGUCUGCCCGGGAGGGCCCUCCUUCCAUUGCAUAGGAAGGCGCGCCCGGCGCCCUCCUCAGGCAGGGCUCGGGGGCUCUCACCUGGAGGGCCACCGACCUAGCCAGGGUCACGAGGGAGGCGCUUGGGCACCAUGUGGAGGCGUGCCUCGAAGCACGUUUCCCCCGAGAAGGAGCCAAGCAAGGAAGGCCAGACCAACAGGAGUUCGUUAACAAGGCCAUUCAAGAACUACAAGAGUCGAGGAUCAUGAGGGGUUGCCGUCAUCCACCAGCUGUGGCCCCACAUCCAGGCGAGGAUGGUGGGCUGCGCGUCUGCAUCGACGUACCAGGGCUCAAUCAGAUCGCCACGACGGAGCGCCUCUGGCCCUCGCAAGUGGGGCGCUGCGGGGGUCCACCCCACAGCUAUGUUCGCAUGCCUUACGGCCUGCCGAGCAUGGUUGCGGCGUACCAGCGCCUCAUGAGGGGCAUCAUGGAGGCUCAGGAAGACAGGCGUUCUGCGGCCCUGGCGGAGAUGAAGACAGCUCGCGAGGAGCCACCAGUGCCUCCGGAGCCUCCCGAGGCCCCGGGGCCUGGGGGCUCGUGAGGAUCGGCUUCUGCAGCCUACCGAGUCUGCUGCACCAAUGCCACUUCGCCAACGACAUCCUCAGGUGACAUCUUCCAAGCUUCAAUCCCAGCUGGGAGCGCCCUCCCAGGGUUGCAUCACUCCCAGGCCGCGUGGGUCCGUCCCUGCGGCAUGUAUCCCCUUUUAUUUCUCGGUCGUUAGUUUGCCUUGUUGGGGGCGCCCCACGGGCUGCAUCAUCCCCAAGCCGCUCGGGCCAGGCCCAGCGGCAUGUAUCUCCCUCGCGUUUAUUUCCAACUAUGCAUUCGCCUAUCACGCUUGAUUGCUUGAUGCCCGUCCGUGGCAUCCCUUCUUCUCCAUGUCGACUACUUGCACAUUAAAGGGGGGGUGCCUGAGCAUCGCGACUUAGGGCUCUUACUGGCUCUCCAGCCCUCACCCUCUGGCCUUGUCCAUGGCAUCGCGACCUGGCAUACCAGCGACGGCUGAGACAAGCUCAAGGGCCGGGACCCGAGGACGUAGAGUACUGACAUCUAACCAAAUUUUGCAGGGACACAUCUCAAGAUACGGCCCAGUGCCAGGCGCAACCCGCCUAGAGGUAGGGCCUCGUGAGUCUCGUGCUGGCUCACGGGUGCCCUAAUACACCACACCUACUCCAACCAGCAAGCUCUUGAGUGGCUAACGAUCGACUGAUGACUGCCAUGGCAACCCCAUCGUCUUUCUGUGAUGACUCUGCAGGAUCCUUGGAGGGAACUGCGCUAGCCAAGGCCCUCACGAGGUUCCCUUCGCCCUCGCCCGCGCGAACCGCUUGCACGUUAAAGGGGGGGGGGCGCCUGAGCAUCACGACUCAGGGCUCCUACUGGCUCUCCAGCCCUCACCCUCUGGCCUUGUCCACGGCAUCGCCACCUGGCAUACCAGCGACGGCUAAGACCAGCUCGAGGUCCGGGACCCGAGGACGUAGAGCAGAAAGGGGAGCAGAGGCAAGGGAGAAGGGGCUCGCGAGGACCUUGCCGAGCAAUUCCGUUCCUGCCGACGCGCGGACCAGACGGCGCACCAGGAAUAAUCCCCGGCUCUCGAGAUAAGUCACCACCCAAAGCACUGGCUACCGUGGCACUACCCCCGCACCUAAAGCAAUUCCGUACUAGCGAUGUUGCUUCCCUUUCUCACCAAGCGACGGCUGCUUGGGCGCCAAAGGGGACCUCCUGAGCAUCGCGACUCAGGGGCUCUUACUGGACCCCGGGUCGCUCACCUCCUGGCCUUGACCACGGCAUCGCGACCUGGCAUACCAGCGACGGCUGAUGCCGCCUUGGGACUGGGACCUGUCGACGCAGAGCACCGAGCCCUCGUGAGGUGCAAAAGGGAGGACUGAACUACAACGGGAUCAGCAACUCACACAACUCUGCAGCAAAGAUUGUAUAUUAACAAACGGGACUACAGGCACCUUACAAGCCCCCACGGGGCGCAUUUUGAUUCCUCACAGGGAACGAAUCCUAAGGGAUGCUAACUACACGAGCUCCUACAAAAGAUGCCAUCAUCAACAGUGGGCCGUCAGGCGCCGGCGCCAACUCCAUCCAGAUCAGGGUCGGCGACGGCCUGACGAGUCCGCCCUGCUCCGGGAGCGGCGCCGACUCGGGGGCUCGUAGCUGUCAUCGCUCGUCUCCGGAGUCGCGAAGACUUCGCUGGAGUUGCUGGACCCUUCGGCGCCUCCGCCAAGGGAGCGGUCAACGGGCCUAGCCCUCACCAGGGCAAGGUCCUGGCCACCUCUCCUGCGGCAACACUCCAGCCUGCGCCCGUUCGCGUCGAAGACCUUGACGAACAUCACCGCAGCACCAUCAUACUCCAAGUGGACUGCGAAGACGCCCCUUUCCCUGCAAACCCGGGCGAUCUCUCUCCAGCCACGGGACAUGUAGACCUCGCCCGAGGCAGCGACCACGACCUCUGCCUCGGCCGCGAGGGUGCUGCAGCCGGCGUGCUGCAGCCAGAGCUCCAGGGGCCCUCCUGGAGGGACGAUGGAGGCGAAGAAGGGAGGCAGGAGGAUCCAGGACUGAAGAGGAACGACGACGUGGAGCAUGAACUCAUGGGAGGAGCCCUCGGCAUGGACUCCAGGGGGAACCACCCAAGCCUUCAUGGCCCGACGGCACCGACGACGGCGCUGACCGCGGGGAUCGGCAUCGACACCUUCGGGGCCCUCGACGUGGGCAUACAAGGGAAGCGAGAACCCUGGCAGAGCCCGCUCGCACCGGGGCCUCGCCACCACCUAGCGGUCUUCCUCGUUCCGGCUGCAAAGGGCGAGUCGCUUCUUCGGCGGGAGAGGGUCUGGUCCCUCUCGAGGAGCCUUUCCCUUCUCCGCCGCGGAAAAUCGGCGAAUUGGAGCCAUCACGCCAAGACGGAGCAAGAAUUGAGGCGAGGGAGAAAGCGAGAAGAGAUGGACUGGAAGGGCACGCACGGUGCCAUACUUAUAGCCGGCGAAGGCCAACCGCCAGCCUCCAUGAUCACAGGUAAUCAUGACACUAUUUGCAUGCAGGGACUUGUCCAACUCGCACGAUCACCGAUGCGUCGUGGGGAAGUGGAGACGCCCACGUCCAAUCAACCGCCACGCGGCGCCCAAGGCCACAGGCUGUUAGGGCCCGUGGCGCUUCGCCCUUGCACUUUCGCCUCUCGGCACGGCCAAGUCCGGGCGCGCCUUGGGCCCGGGGGCUACUGUCGGCGUUCUGGGAACGGGGGUCCACAGACUUGCCUGCCUGCGGCCUGCGGCGUGGCUCAAAUGGGGGCCCAGUGCGGCCCAUCUUCAUCAACACAAGGCUCAAGACCCUCGCGAGGGGCCAAGCCUCGCGAGGCGGACGACACGGCGCAUCCUCAGGCACGGCCUCAUCAGGCUGGCUCGCGAGGAGGCGGAGAGAUCAAGGCAGGGUACCUCGCGAGGUGCCCAUGACGCAAGCCAUGACGAUCGAGGGUGCCAGGCGGGUGCCAGCGCGCGCAGCGUCCUUCUUUCCUCUUUGGUGCAAAGGGGGCAGGCGCAGCCGCGGGGUACCGAGGCAUCAGGCAAAGGUUGCCAUUUCGGUGCAACGAGACCAAGACCAGGAGGACUACGAGACGGAGGUCACCAUGGAGCCCAGCGCGGCGUCAUCGACAGAGCCUUUGGCAGGCGGAGACCAACUUUAGUCAGGAUAAGUGUACUCGCUGUCCCCCUUCAAAUUAGCCCGUCAUUGUUGGCUCCCUUCCCGCUCAAUAUUUGGGAAGAGGACCAGGGCCUCUAUAAAUAGGACUAGCCACCCACAUUGCAAGGGGUUCCGAUAGUCGAUAAGUGAGUGUGAGAGAGAGGUGACUGAACUCCUCCUAGCAGUUCAUCACCCCAACCAAGAACAGACCCUCGCGAGGCUGUUCUUCCUUGUAUUGUUCAUCAUCUCCAGCCCCAAGAGGCAAUCCACCAACCACACACUGGAGUAGGGUAUUACACCACAACGGUGGCCCAAACCAGUAUAAAUCUUGUGUCUCUUGUGCAGUUCUUUUAGUAGUUUAGAUCCUUGUGAGACAGAGAGGUAGAAGGCGUGAUCUCCGCGUGCACCCCAGUGUUCGAACCUUAAGGUCUGCCGGAACCCACGAAUCCGACAGGGACUUUCCUUGGCGUGGAAGGCAAGCUUGGCGAUACGGAUGUUCAGAUCUGCUACCAUUGUAACCGACUCUGUGUAACCCUAACCCUCUCCGGUGUCUAUAUAAACCGGAGGGUUUUAGUCCGUAGGACAAUUCCAAUAUACAACAAUCAUACCAUAGGCUAGCUUCUAGGGUUUAGCCUCUUUGAUAUCGUGGUAGAUCUACUCUUGUACUACCCAUAUCAUCAAUAUUAAUCAAGUAGGACGUAGGGUUUUACCUCCAUCAAGAGGGCCCGAACCUGGGUAAAACAUUGUGUCCCUUGUCUCCUGUUACCAUCCGCCUAGACGCACAGUUCGGGACCCCCUACCCGAGAUCUGCCGGUUUUGACACCGACAUUGGUGCUUUCAUUGAGAGUUCCUCUGUGUCGUCGCUUUUAGGCCCGAUGGCUCCUUUGAUCAUAAAAAACGAUGUGGUCCAGGGUGAGACUUUUCUCCCCGGACAGAUCUUCGUCUUCGGCGGCUUCGCACUGCGGGCCAAUUCGCUUGGCCACCUAGAGCAGA
Molecule: long non-coding RNA, 32668 nt
Filed under: Triticum aestivum (bread wheat)
Lineage: Eukaryota; Viridiplantae; Streptophyta; Magnoliopsida; Poales; Poaceae
Description: long non-coding RNA (TAES_LNC005144)
Source: RNAcentral